RNAcentral lists this ribosomal RNA (301 nucleotides) under uncultured bacterium. RNAcentral's name for it is "partial 16S ribosomal RNA". It matches the Rfam family "Bacterial small subunit ribosomal RNA", at positions 509 to 807 of the family's 1533-position model. The record is from RNAcentral.
CAGCCGCCGCGGUAAUACGUAGGGUGCAAGCGUUAAUAGGAAUUACUGGGCGUAAAGCGUGCGCAGGCGGUUAUAUAAGACAGAUGUGAAAUCCCCGGGCUCAACCUGGGAACUGCAUUUGUGACUGUAUAGCUAGAGUACGGCAGAGGGGGAUGGAAUUCCGCGUGUAGCAGUGAAAUGCGUAGAUAUGCGGAGGAACACCGAUGGCGAAGGCAAUCCCCUGGGCCUGUACUGACGCUCAUGCACGAAAGCGUGGGGAGCAAACAGGAUUAGAUACCCCUGUAGUCCCUGUCUCUUAUAC